GAUGAACGCUGGCGGCGUGCCUAAUACAUGCAAGUCGAGCGAACGGACGAGAAGCUUGCUUCUCUGAUGUUAGCGGCGGACGGGUGAGUAACACGGGGAUAACCUACCUAUAAGACUGGGAUAACUUCGGGAAACCGGAUCUAAGACCGGAUAAUAUUUUGAACCGCAUGGGUCAAAAGUGGAAGACGGUCUUGCUGUCACUUAUAGAUGGAUCCGCGCUGCAUUAGCUAGUUGGUAAGGUGACGGCUUACCAAGGCAAGUAUGCAUAGCCGACCUGAGAGCGUGAUUCGCCACACUGGAACUGAGACACGGCCCAGACUCCUACGGGAGGACGCAGUAGGGAAUCUUACGCAAUGGGCGAAAGCCUGACGUAGCACAGCCGCGUGAGUGCUGAAGGUCUUCGGAUCGUAAAACUCUGUUAUUCGGGAAGAACAUAUGUGUAAGUAACUGUGAACAUCUUGACGGUACCUAAUCAGAAAGCCCCGGCUAACUCCGUG
Molecule: ribosomal RNA, 497 nt
Filed under: uncultured bacterium
Lineage: Bacteria
Description: partial 16S ribosomal RNA
Rfam family: Bacterial small subunit ribosomal RNA
Source: RNAcentral